UAAUACUCCUGAGAAAAUAAAUUCUCGUCAAUCAAUCGUUCGGUUAAUACUCAAGGGGAACCUUAAUUUUCACCCUUUGCUUGCACGCAUGUACGAAUUUGCAAGGACAAUAACGCGUUUUUAUGACUCUUGUGUAAAACACUGAACCACAUUCGUUCCUUAAUCAAAGCCAAUCCAUUCGGAAAAGAGGGUCAUAAAUCGUCGGCAAUAAAUUUUAGCGAAAUAAUUGAUGUUAAAUGUGAACUGCAUGCUGGUCAGAAGAGUGCUAAAUUUUCACUGUGCUUUGAGGCCAACAUCUAUCACAGCAUCUCUUUGUAACGCAGAAGAAUAAGGAAAGCUACCGAUUUGCAAAACCAUCAACAUGGUGGGACUUUUUCAUUGGGGUUUGUCGAUGACUGGACCACGCUGCAGAGGUCUCGGAAAUUUCCAUUCGGUGGAGAAGUUACAUUAGAUUGAGAAACGAGGGUCUGAAAAUAAGCGGUGGAAAGAAGCGUGCGGCUCGUGAGAGGUCGAAAAAAGUGGAAAAUUGACCUUUAUCAUUGUUUCGUUAUCGAGAAAUUUUAAAUAACGACAACUGAGGUGCGUCAAGUGACAACCUUCGGCGAUAGGACAAGAUUUGUUUUCCCAGUUCAUUUCGUGGUUGACAAUUGCCAAUUUGAGGCCCGUCGGAUCUCUUCCAAUUGCCAAACAGAAUAGAAUCACCUGCAUCACCGGUAGCGCGAAGAUGAAAAGCAUGACGCUGAAAAAAAUGAUUACAGUUUAAUUUCAAACAUCGUUACUUUAUCUCACGGUUCAAUCGAACAAAGCAAUUAUCUUCAGUCUUUAAAUUCUUCUUUCAUGUACCCGACGUUUCUCCACAUACGAAGAAAGUUUUUCUGCAACAGUGCUUUGAUCUUCCCAACACUCGUCAGAUUGUAGAUGCAAUCGGCGAAGUUACAAUCGUCGCAUUCCACGGUCGUGUCACCUUUCGUGCCAGGCAGUGGUUUACCAUUCAACUGAAAAUAUUCAAUCGUUAUUUUUUCAUCAUUAUUCCAAAUGACGGUAACACAUUUGUGCUACGAAGCAACGAAGCUAAAUUGGGAGUCGUUUGUUCGAAAAAUGAAGAAUUCUUCUCACGUCGUAAUGGCUGCCAACUCCAUUGGUCGUAUCAUGGAUGAGGACUUCUUUGCUCUGAUGGAAAUUGAGUCCGACCACGCCAGAUUCCUCGGUAACGUAAACAGGUUCGUCCUUCUUGCCCCAAUUCAAGGAAGCCUGAACAAACGGAGUAAAAAAGUAUUCAAAUUUUUCGACGUCCUCGCGAUGACCGGUCGGUCCUUUAUUUUUGUAAAAUAUCUCACCAAACUUAUGUUGUUGGAGAUGUUCAAUUCCGUGGUCGGCUGAUUGUACUGGCCCUGUUUUCUCGAAAGUUUCAGAAAAACGUCUUCCAACGAUGGACAAUUGUACAUCGUCAGAAGAGCCCGUGGCGAUUCCUCGGCCAAUAAUCUGCCGCUUCUCAUCAAGCCGAUCUUUGAAAAUCAAAUGAAACCAUCAUUACGGAAAGGAAACACCGAAAUGAGGAUCAGUUUUAAUGAAAAACUGUCGAAAUGAAAGCUAAUCGAAUCACACUGAGAAAAAAAUUCAUUGUCUCCGAAAAUAUUGCAGUUAAAUGAAGAAGAUUCUUCCAAUAACAUCAUUUGCCAUUGGAUCAACAAUUUUUUUUCUCAGUCCAGAUAUCCGGAGCGCAAAACACCGUUUGACAAGUGAAUUGCACUUUUUUUCGACUUCAAUAAUUGUGAAACUCAGCUCUUCUUCAAUAUUGAAGUUUGUACGGUUCAACUAGUCGGAGAUUUUACGAUCUACUAAAAAAGUUAUCUUCGAAUAAACCGAUUGUACUGAGAGUAACGAGCUUGGAAAGUGUUCCAAUGGAAUGAUCAUUUUUUCGACACUGAAACAUUUUUACUGGAAAAUGGAUUUCUUUUUUUAAUUCAAUGUAAAUUGAGCCGAGAUAAUUUGGCAUGUGAUGGCAUUUCGGAAGCGAGCAUGCUGCAUGCACUUCAAAGUUCAGCUACAAAGUGGCAUGCAAAUUGUUUAAAUAUUCAUUCGACUUCUUGUGAAUAAACCGAACUCUCGCUCGACUGUGACAAAAAGAAGAUAAGGAAGGACGACAAUGUCUGAAGUAAGGAAAAGUGGUUGAUAUGCGACAUUUUUUUUUUCCAGUGUCUCAACGUUCCGCACGAUGAAAAUAAAUAAAGCGAAAGAAUCCAUCCAAGUGCACGUCGGCGGGUGCAUUUGUGCGGGGGAAUAAAAGGAGCUCGAUUGUCGCGAAGAGUUGCUUUAAUUGUCGAUUGUAUUCGAUGCGCAUCUCAUAAAGACCUCGACCCUUCCAGAGACUCGAUUCGUCGUACGUAAAAAAGCGAAUUGAGCGCGAGUCUCAUUUUACUUUCCAAGGAUCUCAGUACAGUCGGCUGUGGAGUGUAAACAGUCGCCAAGAAAAAUCAAGAAUGUCUCGGAACUCACGGUGUGCGCUUG
Venturia canescens is the source of this 2508-nucleotide long non-coding RNA. RefSeq lists it as uncharacterized. NCBI's taxonomy places the organism in Eukaryota, Metazoa, Arthropoda, Insecta, Hymenoptera, Ichneumonidae. The transcript has 3 exons. The record is from RefSeq and is a predicted model, not a curated record.